GAGUUUGAUCCUGGCUCAGAACGAACGUUGGCGGCAUGGAUUAGGCAUGCAAGUCGCGGGAAUCCAGCAAUGGGGAACCGGCGUAAGGGGCAGUAAGGCAUGGGUACCUACCCCGGGGUUCGGGAUAGCCACCAGAAAUGGUGGGUAAUACCGGAUGACCUCGUGAGAGCAAAGGUCCGCCGCCCUGGGAGGGGCCCAUGUGAUAUUAGCUAGUUGGUGAGGUAACGGCUCACCAAGGCUAAGAUGUCUAGCGGGUGUGAGAGCACGACCCGCGCCACUCGCACUGAGACACUGGCGAGACACCUACGGGUGGCUGCAGUCGAGGAUCUUCGGCAAUGGGGGCAACCCUGACCGAGCGAUGCCGCGUGCGCAAUGAAGGCCUUCGGGUUGUAAAGCGCGAAAGUGGGGAGAAACGCCGAAAGGCUUGAUCUAUCCACAGUAAGCUCGGGCUAAGUUCGUGCCAGCAGCCGCGGUAAGACGAACCGAGCGAACGUUGUUCGGAAUCACUGGGCUUAAAGGGCGCGUAGGCGGGCUGUCAAGUCUGGGAUGAAAUCCCGCGGCUCAACCGUGGAACUGCCUCAGAUACUGACGGUCUCGAGGGAGAUAGGGGCGAGCGGAACUAAUGGUGGAGCGGUGAAAUGCGUUGAUAUCAUU
This 654-nucleotide ribosomal RNA is filed under the name uncultured bacterium. RNAcentral describes it as "bacterial SSU rRNA". It matches the Rfam family "Bacterial small subunit ribosomal RNA", at positions 9 to 701 of the family's 1533-position model. The record is from RNAcentral.